UACGAAGGGUGCAAACGUUGCUCGGAAUUAUUGGGCGUAAGGCGCACGUAGGCGGCAUUGCAAGUCGGAUGUGAAAUCUUAUGGCUUAACCAUAAAAGUGCAUCCGAAACUGCAGUGCUUGAGUACUUAAGAGGAUCGCGGAAUUCCCGGUGUAGAGGUGAAAUUCGUAGAUAUCGGGAGGAACACCAGUGGCGAAGGCGGCGAUCUGGGAAGAUACUGACGCUGAGGUGCGAAAGCGUGGGGAGCAAACAGG
RNAcentral lists this ribosomal RNA (253 nucleotides) under uncultured bacterium. RNAcentral's name for it is "partial 16S ribosomal RNA". It matches the Rfam family "Bacterial small subunit ribosomal RNA", at positions 524 to 776 of the family's 1533-position model. The record is from RNAcentral.